RNAcentral lists this ribosomal RNA (490 nucleotides) under uncultured bacterium. Its description in RNAcentral is "partial 16S ribosomal RNA". It matches the Rfam family "Bacterial small subunit ribosomal RNA", at positions 30 to 507 of the family's 1533-position model. The record is from RNAcentral.
AUUGAACGCUGGCGGCAGGCCUAACACAUGCAAGUCGAACGGUAACAGGAAGAAUCCUGCUUCUUUGCUGACGAGUGGCGGCCGGGUGAGUAAUGUCUGGGAAACUGCCUGAUGUAGGGGGAUAACUACUGGAAACGGUAGCUAAUACCGCAUAACGUCGCAAGCCCAAAGAGGGGGACCUUCGGUCCUCUUUCCAUCGGAUGUGCCCAGAUGGGAUUAGCUAGUAGGUGGGGUAACGGCUCACCUAGGCGACGAUCCCUAGCUGGUCUGAGAGGAUGACCAGCAACACUGGAACUGAGACACGGUCCAGAAUCCUACGGGAGGCAGCAGUGGGGAAUAUUGCACAAUGGGCGCAAGCAUGAUGCAGCCAUGCCGCGUGUAUGAAGAAGGCCUUCGGGUUGUAAAGUACUUUCAGCGGGGAGGAAGGGAGUAAAGUUAAUACCUUUGCUCAUUGACGUUACCCGAAGAAGAAGCACCGGCUAACUCCGUG